GCUGCUGAUCACAGUAGGGGCAUGACCCCCUACGGGCUUAUCACAAGUCAAGGGGAAAAGGGCCCACAGAAAAGAAGGGAGCCCAGAUAUGCACUGCAACAUAUUUGUAUCAAUACCAUAACUUGUGAGAUAAUAGAAGAAUCUGGAAAUCUUCGGUCGCCCUUCCAACAUUGUACACAUACCAUUUUACACCAACGUGGGUGUCGCUAACUCGUCAAGUUGUCCUUCAUUAACUAUACAAUGGCGAUCGAAACCUAACAAUCGAUCGAUAAAUUCAAUAUGUUGUAGACUCCUUCCUUGAAGACGCCGUCUAUUGAAAUCCCUCCUUCAAGUGAUGUUUUUGACCGCUAGAUGGCAGUAUCUAUUUAUUUGCUAAAUAAACGGACAACUAUCGAAAAAGAGUUGUCUAUUAAAAAGUGGGUCAAACGGCGUUCCGUAUAUAGGAGUUAUAUACCUUACUAUAUCUAUGCCUUGGUCAUUACAAUAGGUUAAAGGAUUAACCAUGUUGUUCAUCAACUCAAGCUCAAAGAAGUACAAGGUAUUUGAGAUUUCUGUUGCCCCACCUACAUUCAGUGUUACUUCAGAAACACUACAAGUAUGUUUGCUGACUACAUGUAUAUAUUGUUGAAGCAACCACUGCUGCAGGACUGUAGGAUAGCAUAAGAAAAUAAAGUUGGAUGAAAGGUUUGAUACAGAAGCUUUUGAGUGAUGGUGGAUUUGGUAGAGGUGGAUAGUGUUUUUGAACCAUUGAUAUAUAGUUUACUGUAUUGGUUGUUUGUUUGUUUGUUUGUUGUUUUCUUUCCUGGCAUCCUACUGAAUUCCAUUGAUUAAAGUUUGUGGCAAAGUGUGUUGUAUAAGAUAAAUCUAAUCCUAACAAUGUUGGAGAUCCCUUUUGUCAGGCAGGAAGCAUUGUUAUUUAUGUCGUUCAGGUAUAUUAUUCACAUCCAUGCUUUCGAUUCGUGAAAAAAGUAAGACGUGUUGGGAAUUGGAUCUUGAUAUUGCAGAUCCCUCUUUUAAUCAAGGAAAUAUUGAUAAUUUAAGUGUCCUUAAAUUAUUUUAACAAAAUGUUUAUUGCAUUUGGUUACUUUCUUGAAUUUAUUUAUUUUUUCUUAUAGAAAUACCAAGAUAUAUUGUUCUUCCACCCUUCAUACCCGUCAGGUUGCUUCAUGCUUCAUGUUGCGUUCGCGAACCAAUUUGAGCUACGAGAUGGCGCUUGCUUAACCUGUGCGAAAUGUAUUUUUUUCCGAACAAGCAUGGCUCAAGGAGCACGGUUUAACGCCGAUUUGUGUUUUUUUUACAGGAAAAGAUUUUUGAGUAUGUAGAAAUAAAUUUUCACCGACACUGCAGUGCAUCAAUGGCUGAAGGAAUGUUGGGUUGAAGAUUUGAUGGAUUAACUUUUGAAUGAUGGUGACAUGUGGGGCCAGAAGAAAUUGGGGGGAGAAAGGCAAUCCUAAACAAUAUAAGAGAUCUCUCUUAUCACCUGAUAAAUGUUGAUAAUUUUGGUGUAUUGUAGGAUAAUAUGAUGGAAUUGAAGGAGAAUGUGACACGAUACGUUGGUUUGGCGUCAGUAAUUUAACCAGUAUGGAAGUUACUUGUUCUUUGUUACCAAUUUACUCGUGGACUGAAAUCAGUAGCAGGCCAUGGAAUGCUGAUGAAUCAUCUGUAAGUGGAAAUUGUUAUGGAGGACAUGCUGUGGCCAUUGAGAAUACCACCUUGAAAAAAACAGAUGAUGGUGUUUGUUGGCAUUGUUUUUGUGGGAGUGUUUUCGAAGAUAGCAUGGAGUCAGAUUGUGAAAAAAAUUACUUUGAAUGAGGCAAUAAGAUUUUUUUUUUCUAUAGGGGGUUGUUAAUCAUCUUUAUGAACAGUCUAAAGCAGCAUAUGUUUUAUUCUGCAUUGGCCUAUUCAAAACAUUUGAUGAAUUGAAAAUUGAUCCCACUCAUCAUCCAUUGGUAGCUAACCAGAAUGGAAAUUGCUUUUUCUAUGUUAUCAACUAGCAGUGGGUUUAGAUUUAUCAUGGCGUACAGUUACUUCGACAUCUCUUAUAAUUCGAUGAAACAUGAUCUGUUAUGACCAAAUUUGAACGCUGGCCUAGAAUAAAAUAAUAGUUUUCCGGUUACUUAUGCAAUCUCUGAAUAGAACGGAAGCAAGAAUAUCGAUUCAGAGAUGAACAUAGUAAUCACAAAGA
Molecule: long non-coding RNA, 2185 nt
Filed under: Daphnia magna
Lineage: Eukaryota; Metazoa; Arthropoda; Branchiopoda; Diplostraca; Daphniidae
Description: uncharacterized LOC116929288, transcript variant X3
Source: RNAcentral